UAACCGCUGAAAGCAUCUAAGCGGGAAACUUGCCUCAAGAUGAGAUCUCACUGGGAACUUGAUUCCCCUGAAGGGCCGUCGAAGACUACGACGUUGAUAGGCUGGGUGUGUAAGCGUUGUGAGGCGUUGAGCUAACCAGUACUAAUUGCCCGUGAGGCUUGACCAUAUAACACCCAAACA
RNAcentral lists this ribosomal RNA (180 nucleotides) under Pseudomonas aeruginosa. RNAcentral's name for it is "partial 23S ribosomal RNA". It matches the Rfam family "Bacterial large subunit ribosomal RNA", at positions 2765 to 2925 of the family's 2925-position model. RNAcentral also lists the same sequence under 1 other name. The record is from RNAcentral. Lineage: Bacteria; Pseudomonadati; Pseudomonadota; Gammaproteobacteria; Pseudomonadales; Pseudomonadaceae.